Long non-coding RNA from Drosophila miranda, 720 nucleotides. RefSeq lists it as uncharacterized. The transcript has 2 exons. The record is from RefSeq and is a predicted model, not a curated record. Lineage: Eukaryota; Metazoa; Arthropoda; Insecta; Diptera; Drosophilidae.
ACGAUGUGGUGUCGCUGGUCCCCAUGUCGUAGGACAUUGCGGGUAAAAAUGGAAAUGAUGAAAAGCAUUGUUAAUGGUUAGUAAAGAAAGUACUAACACAUGCAAAGAGGUUCUCUCUGCGGUCUCUCAUAAUGACGCGUAAUGACGCGUAAUGACCGAACGCCAAAGCCGAAGUCUCUGAACUGGCACAUCUAUAUACUGUAUGGUUAGUGCAUACACCAAAUUCUGUUUUUAUACGGUAGAUUGGGUCCUGAAAAACCUGUGUAAAAAACCGUGCAAAAAAAGGCAUUGAUCGUAUGCAAUAAUAGGGAAAAAAUUUGAUAACGUUGGAACAAUGAAAAACAAUGAAGUGCAAAAUAAAGUUCGCGCCUAGAUAUUUUUCAAGUCGUAAUUCGUAAAAAAAAAGAAAAAACAACAGACACAAUAAAAAAUGAAGAGACCAGCAAUUGGUGGUAAUAAGUAAACAUUUGUACAUGGCGCACAAAAGCGGAUAAAACUGGGAAAUCUUCUGGAGAUUGCUGGAAUUCCAAAAAGAGCAGCAGAAGUAACAGGAUGAGCACCAGGAAACAAAGCGGGAGAUACUACAGUAAAUUGCGAGCAGCCAAGGCCAAACCGACUUCCAGACCGAGCUGCUGCAGUUUUUAAAGGAGUUCAAAGGGUAACGUUUAUUGUACAUGUAUUGAUUGUUUUAAUAUAGCAAAUAAAAUAGCUAAUAUACUA